GGGUUGYGUCUCGAUCGUCCGGUCGCUCCUCCUUUCGGAGGUGGCGUCGGUUGGUCGGACMWUAUCUCGGRCRGUGUUGGGACGACGCAUUAGCAGGCUCCCUGCUUCUCGCAGCGAACUGCAUUGGUCCGUCCCUUUCAUUUGAUCGCUCGCCUCGAAUCCCCUAGGGUCGGUCGCGAGUGAUGGGUGGGUUCCUGUGCUUGAUACCGGAUUUCGGUACUCGGAUUCAAUGUUGUCCACGUCUUGGUUUCCCUUGUUCCUCCUCCGCCUCCUGUGCGUUGGUGGUUGUCGCGCGGGCAUCGAUGCUUUCCGUCCGGGCGGUCGUCCACCUCUGGGCGCUUCCGCUCGAGUCGGCGCGUCGAUGCCGUCCGCGUGCUCUUGGGUACGGAGAUAUCUCUUGUUAUCGCGCGGCCCUCUUUCGGCCGUUGCGAUCACGACGUGUCGAAGCUUCUUUGCUUCCGCUCGGGUGACCCUCGUGCUUUCCUUGGCCCUCACGGAGACUCUCCUCUCCGCGUUCGUCCUCGGGAGGCAUCGAGGUGUACAAUGGAAUGCUACCUGGUUGAUCCUGCCAGUAGUCAUCUUUCCUUGGSACUYACGGASACUCUYCUCUCYSCSKUCSUCCUCKGGAGGCAUCGAGGUGUACAAUGGAA
RNAcentral lists this unclassified non-coding RNA (650 nucleotides) under Chaetogastra violacea. Its description in RNAcentral is "partial may contain 26S ribosomal RNA, external transcribed spacer, 18S ribosomal RNA". The record is from RNAcentral. Lineage: Eukaryota; Viridiplantae; Streptophyta; Magnoliopsida; Myrtales; Melastomataceae.